RNAcentral lists this ribosomal RNA (506 nucleotides) under uncultured bacterium. Its description in RNAcentral is "bacterial SSU rRNA". It matches the Rfam family "Bacterial small subunit ribosomal RNA", at positions 20 to 518 of the family's 1533-position model. The record is from RNAcentral.
UGGCUCAGGAUGAACGCUAGCUACAGGCUUAACACAUGCAAGUCGAGGGGCAGCAUUGGAGUAGCAAUACUCAGAUGGCGACCGGCGCACGGGUGAGUAACACGUAUCCAACCUGCCGCUUACUCGGGGAUAGCCUUUCGAAAGAAAGAUUAAUACCCGAUGGUAUAAAGAGUUCGCAUGUUCUCUUUAUUAAAGAAUUUCGGUAAGCGAUGGGGAUGCGUUCCAUUAGAUAGUUGGCGGGGUAACGGCCCACCAAGUCUACGAUGGAUAGGGGUUCUGAGAGGAAGGUCCCCCACAUUGGAACUGAGACACGGUCCAAACUCCUACGGGAGGCAGCAGUGAGGAAUAUUGGUCAAUGGACGAGAGUCUGAACCAGCCAAGUUGGCGUGAAGGAUGACUGCCCUAUGGGUUGUAAACUUCUUUUAUAAGGGAAUAAAGUGAGGGACGUGUCCCUUUUUGUAUGUACCUUAUGAAUAAGGAUCGGCUAACUCCGUGCCAGCAGCGGC